RNAcentral lists this ribosomal RNA (492 nucleotides) under uncultured bacterium. RNAcentral's name for it is "partial 16S ribosomal RNA". It matches the Rfam family "Bacterial small subunit ribosomal RNA", at positions 29 to 507 of the family's 1533-position model. The record is from RNAcentral.
AGUGAACGCUGGCGGUAGGCCUAACACAUGCAAGUCGAACGGCAGCACAGUAAGAGCUUGCUCUUACGGGUGGCGAGUGGCGGACGGGUGAGGAAUACAUCGGAAUCUACUUUUUCGUGGGGGAUAACGUAGGGAAACUUACGCUAAUACCGCAUACGACCUACGGGUGAAAGCAGGGGAUCUUCUGACCUUGCGCGAUUGAAUGAGCCGAUGUCGGAUUAGCUAGUUGGCGGGGUAAAGGCCCACCAAGGCGACGAUCCGUAGCUGGUCUGAGAGGAUGAUAAGCGACACUGGAACUGAGACACGGUCCAGACUCCUAAGGGAGGCAGCAGUGGGGAAUAUUGGACAAAGGGCGCAAGCCUGAUCCAGCCAGACCGCGUGGGUGAAGAAGGCCUUCGGGUUGUAAAGCCCUUUUGUUGGGAAAGAAAAGCAGCAGGUUAAUACCCAGCUGUUCUGACGGUAACCAAAGAAUAAGCACCGGCUAACUCCGUG